UACGUAGGGACCGAGCGUUGUCCGGAAUCAUUGGGCGUAAAGCGCGCGUAGGCGGCCCGGUAAGUCCGUUGUGAAAGUCAAAGGCUCAACCUUUGAACGCCGAUGGAUACUGCCGGGCUAGAGUCCGGAAGAGGCGAGUGGAAUUCCUGGUGUAGCGGUGGAAUGCGCAGAUAUCAGGAGGAACACCAAUAGCGAAGGCAGCUCGCUGGGACGGUACUGACGCUGAGGCGCGAAAGCGUGGGGAGCGAACAGG
RNAcentral lists this ribosomal RNA (253 nucleotides) under uncultured bacterium. RNAcentral describes it as "partial 16S ribosomal RNA". It matches the Rfam family "Bacterial small subunit ribosomal RNA", at positions 524 to 776 of the family's 1533-position model. The record is from RNAcentral.